RNAcentral lists this ribosomal RNA (278 nucleotides) under uncultured bacterium. RNAcentral describes it as "partial 16S ribosomal RNA". It matches the Rfam family "Bacterial small subunit ribosomal RNA", at positions 63 to 339 of the family's 1533-position model. The record is from RNAcentral.
UUUACUAAGAGAUGAUUUAUUGUAAAUUUUAGUGGCGGACUGGUGAGUAAUACAUAGGUAAUCUGCCUUUUAGAGGGGGAAUAACUAGGAGAAAUCCUAGCUAAUACCGCGUAAGACCACACUUAGGCAUCUAAGAGAGGUCAAAGGAGUAAUCCGCUAAAAGAUGAGCCUGUGGCUGAUUAGUUAGUUGGUGGGGUAAGAGCCUACCAAGACGAUGAUCAGUAGCCGAGCUGAGAGGCUGGCCGGCCACAUUGGGACUGAGACACGGCCCAAACUCC